Molecule: small nucleolar RNA, 90 nt
Organism: Camellia sinensis
Lineage: Eukaryota; Viridiplantae; Streptophyta; Magnoliopsida; Ericales; Theaceae
Product: small nucleolar RNA snR60/Z15/Z230/Z193/J17
Source: RefSeq, a predicted model, not a curated record
AGAGGUCGAGUGAUGAAUAGUAUCACGGUUCAGAUGAUAAUUUCAAUGAUUAUUACUCUGCAUAUUCGUUGCUCCUAUCUGACGACUAUC